Molecule: non-coding RNA, 565 nt
Organism: Biomphalaria pfeifferi
Lineage: Eukaryota; Metazoa; Mollusca; Gastropoda; Planorbidae
Source: the annotation of a GenBank genome assembly
AGUUCAAAGUGUGACGUGAUGUUACUUGAAUGUAAAACGAUGUCUCUGUUUUAGUCUGCCAUAGUUCGAUUUGCAGCGGCAAUAGUUGCAGGUUGAGGUAGUAGAACACUUUUGUUGAUGAAUCUAUACAUUGAGAAUAUAAUGAGGAAAUGCAAUCUUUUUUUUUUAAAUGUUGUACAAGAUUUCGCUCUCACAUUGUAAAUCAUUAGAAGCCAGUGAUUCUUAAAAUGUUGAACACCUCGACAAAGGGAUGCGAAUGCGGUCAUUUUAGCUUCACAUACAACAAAUCUUUUUUUAAAUCAAAAUUGUAGUCAGAAAUCUAUAUUUUAGAAUUAAUAAAGCUGGCUAAUGGGAUGAGGGUGGCCGUGAUAGUAUUUUUUUUGUCUGGAGGGCGUCACUAGUAAAAGUUUGAGAAACACUGCUGUGAAAAUUCAAGGUAUGAUGUGGUAAUGUUAUCUGCCAUUCUUUGUUUUCUAGUCGGAUUAGAUUCAACAUGUUAGAACAAACGCUCUGGAGAAUCCUGGGAUAUGGGGUGGAAGCAGUAGGUGUGAAUUACCCUCCCCCC